Pangasius djambal is the source of this 77-nucleotide non-coding RNA. Lineage: Eukaryota; Metazoa; Chordata; Actinopteri; Siluriformes; Pangasiidae. The record is from the annotation of a GenBank genome assembly.
GGUAGUGUGGGUAGCUCAGUGGUUAGGAUGUUGGGCUACUGAUCAGAAGGUCAUGAGUUCAAUCCCCAGCACCACCA